RNAcentral lists this long non-coding RNA (685 nucleotides) under Ananas comosus (pineapple). Its description in RNAcentral is "long non-coding RNA (ACOM_LNC012125)". Lineage: Eukaryota; Viridiplantae; Streptophyta; Magnoliopsida; Poales; Bromeliaceae. The record is from RNAcentral.
AGAGAGAUGAGAGAGAUCUUUAGAGAGAGAAAGGAGAGAGUUCCCACGCGUGCAUGUGUGUGUCGUGUGUAUGGUCGGCUGAGGAAGAAGAAGAGGUCAACACUUCUCUUUUGUCAACACCACAGCACUAUUCAUUUCGGGCAGCUUGAAAUCUGAUAUCUUUCGUCGGAGCUCCCUGAAUAUCCGUUUGAGCUCAAAUUUGACAGUCAUGUUUGGUUUUACUUAAUGAGUCCAAAGAAAUUUUAAUAUUUUAGUUUCGACCCCGUUUGGUCACCGAAAACUGUACCGAACUGUAAUCUUUAUCAGAUAGCUGUCGAAUUUUAUUUUCCACCUUCUGGGUGUCAGAAUGAUAUGAAACUUUAAAUCUGGUCUCAUAAAAAUAAUUCUGACUUAUCCUCCAGUUUUCAUAAUUUUCUAAAACUGUGCAUUUUUUGCUAAUUUAUCUGUCCCGUUUCCAACAGAAAAUUCUAAAUUUUCUAUUUUCAUUCCGAUUUCAGCACAAGUCACUUCUGACUUAUGUUUUACUCCUCUAAAUCCAAUAAAAAUAGUAUCUCACACUAUUUUUAUUUAUUUUUAUUUUUAUACCAAAAUCUAGUAUGUUACAUUCUCCACCCCUUAAAAGAAUUUCGUCCGCGAAAUUCAAACCACACAUCAAUUCAGCUCCGUGAGCAAUUGAGGGUACCAA